UACGUAGGGGGCAAGCGUUGUCCGGAUUUAUUGGGCGUAAAGAGCGUGUAGGCGGCCAUGCAGGUCCGUUGUGAAAACUGGAGGCUUAACCUCCAGACGUCGAUGGAAACCGUAUGGCUAGAGUCCGGAAGAGGAGAGUGGAAUUCCUGGCGUAGCGGUGAAAUGCGCAGAUAUCAGGAAGAACACCCGUGGCGAAGGCGGCUCUCUGGGACGGUACUGACGCUGAGACGCGAAAGCGUGGGGAGCGAACAGG
Molecule: ribosomal RNA, 253 nt
Filed under: uncultured bacterium
Lineage: Bacteria
Description: partial 16S ribosomal RNA
Rfam family: Bacterial small subunit ribosomal RNA
Source: RNAcentral